RNAcentral lists this long non-coding RNA (9157 nucleotides) under Arabidopsis lyrata. Its description in RNAcentral is "long non-coding RNA (ALYR_LNC003136)". The record is from RNAcentral. Lineage: Eukaryota; Viridiplantae; Streptophyta; Magnoliopsida; Brassicales; Brassicaceae.
CGUAACUUCCUUGGCGAGAAGAAGGUUUGGCUUCUUCAUUUCUGUUUUGUUGAGCUGGUUUUUGAAUCUGUAGAUCCCGGAAUGAAAUAGUUUGCCUCUAGAUUCAGCUUUGUUGUUGUUAAAUUCGAUAAUGUUAGCUCUGAUACUUGGAUUAUGAUUGAUUUCUGAGUUUGCGAACAUUGAACUUACUUAGAAAUGUGUUUAUUGGAUCAUUAGGUGAGGAAGGUAGAGAUGUUGGAUGGUGUAACCAUUGUUCGAUCUGAGAAGGUCAAGGAUGAGAUCGUUCUUGAUGGUAACGAUAUCGAGCUCGUCUCUAGGUCUUGUGCUCUGAUCAACCAGGUACUCCUACUCUUUAACUAGUAGGUAUCAAAUUUGUGUUUAUCUUUCCAUCACCGCCGAUAGAGUCUGAUAAAGCAUGAGCAUGUAAAUCCUUUCAUUAGCUAACUUGGUUCGAUUUUUGCAUAUUGUUGUGUGAAGGAAAGCAUGAGCAAUUGUGAUUAUAAGAAUUCUUGGUUGAAAGUCUGAAUUUGUUGUUACAUAUAGCAUAGUUAGACUGGCUUGAUUCUUUAUGUUGUACUGUCUUAUUUAACUGCUAUGGUUUUUGUGAUUGUGCAGAAAUGUCAUGUGAAGAAGAAGGAUAUCAGGAAGUUUCUUGACGGUAUCUAUGUUAGCGAGAAAAGCAAGAUCGUAGAGGAAGAAUGAAUACUCAUAUCCUCCUCUUAGCUCCUCUUUCUUAUCUUUUGAAUGUUAGUUUUGUUUUAUGGACCAAAUCCACCGGUGAUGUAAAACUUGGCCUUCUUUUGUUCGAGAAUUUAUGAACUUAUGCAACAAGUUUUUGGAGAUAAUUUUAUCCACAUUUUCAUUCAUUUGCCAAAUUAUAUUUCUCGGAUGAAUUUUUUUUAAUUCGGAAGAAUGGGUUGUGUCUUUCAAUUUCAGACCAUUAUAAAUCAUUAUCUUGAAUAAACAAGAAUCGCUGAACAAAAGAAAAAAAUAUUUAUAUUUGAAGAUUGAAUAAAAAUUCUCGCCUUUUUUAAAAUUUGUUAAAUAAAUACAAUUUUUUCAUUGGUUUAAAUUGGUAACAAGAAAAGAAUUAAAGAAAUAACUUUGUGGGAGGAAAAAAAAAAAGAAAUAACUGUGUCAGAUUUUGUGGGUACCUAACCUUUUCUGGAGUGUAAUAAAUACAAAAAUAUAUUUUUAUUUAUGUGUUUUUACAAUGAACCAUUUAUUACGAAAAGAUGAGAAUCACGAUGAUAUAAUCAGAAAAAAUUUUCCGAUUAAAAUUCCGGCAUGAAUUCGGCGAAAAUUAAUACACUAUAGUUUUGGCAUAGAUCCAGUUUCCGGCAAGAGGGAGAGAGAUAAAACAAAAAUAAAAGUCAUCUAGUACUGGUAUGCAGAGAAAGAGACAGAGAAGAGAUCCGGUGAAUUGUUUAUGUAACGGCGACUAUAGAUACAGAGAUGCAAAUCAAAGAUCCGUAGAUAAAUGAUAGAGAAAGUAUGUAAUUUUGAAAAAUAACAUGAAUUGUUUUUCUUAAAAGCAGGUCAUCUAUAAUAAAUACAAUGUUAUUUUAAAAAAUACAAUGUUUAAAACAAAAAUACAUGUUAACCAUGACAUAGCGUAGUCGCCCGUCUUCAAUUGUGAGUUUCAGUAAUAGAAAAUAGACUAGAAUUGCUGAAAUAUCAUGGAAUAUAUACAAUUUACAAGGCAUCUAACAUAAUUACGUGUGUUAUAUAAAAAAACUAAUGUGUUUUUUUAAAACAUAGUGUGAUAUAUUGAAAGAUAGUGUGUUAAGCAAAAAAAUAGCAUGUUAAAAGUAAAAACAUUGUUGCAUGAAAUAAAAUUACACAAAAUUCAAAAAAAAAAACUUAAAAAAAAAGUUGAGAGGGAGUAUUAGAAAAAGCAACGAAAGAGAGAAACAUCUAUACUAUUAAUUGGGAAGCACUCAAACAUAAAUAACCUUAUAAAGUGUAAAGUAUUACAAAAAUGCCAUUAGUUUUUGUUUUUAAAUAAAUUCAUUAAAGAUACAAUAAUAAUCACAAAAUAAUAUAUUUAAAUAAAAAAUAGUAAAAUUCUUUAAAAUAAUUAUUAGUUUCCAAAAAAUUAAACUCACUUUCUCUCUCAUAUUAAUUAUGGACAAAAAUUUAAUUUUUUCUUCUAAAAAGUUGUUAACCAAUGAGAAUUAAAAAACUAAGAUUUAAUAUCUAACUAAAAUUUUAUCUAAACCAAUCCUAAUAAACUAUUCCAUAUCAAAAAUAAAAAGAAAAAUAAUAACAUUAUAAUUCAAAAUUAAAAACACUAUCGUUUAAAAAGUUUUAUCAAUGGAGGAUUUUAAGAUUGAAUUUGAAAUUUCGUAAAAAUAUUAAAUACAAAUAUUUAAGACUCAAUUUUGUUAUAAUAUUUUCACAAAUUUUGAAAUAUAAAACAAAAUUUUAUUUCGAAAUUUCUAAAAAACGAUAUUAGAUAUUAACAAAUAUUUAUAUUUACUAUGAAAUAAAUUCAAAAAUGAUAAAUUUAAAGUAAUUAUCAUUAUGGCAUUCGUUUAGAGAAGGUUUCGGAAAUAUCUAAACAAAAGAUUGUACAUAUUAAUUUCGAAAUAUUUUGUGUUUUUUUUUUCUUCUCAACCGGAUCUUCCUUGAACAAAUCCAUAAUAUAUUGCACACAGUUUUCGAAAUAAUGUGAACUAAUUAUAUAUUUUGCAUUCAAAACAAAUUAUGCAGCAAUAACAUAUCAUUUUUAUAGAGUAUCUCAAGUUUUAAUUUUAGUCCCAAAAAUUGAAUUAAUUAUGAUUAAACAAUGAAAAGAAAAAUAUACAAAAUUUAGCUAGAAUCAUUAAUAAGUUUGUUAAAAUAUAUUUGUAACUUUAACAGCAUACAUAUUAAUCCGCAAAAUUCACAACAUAUAUUGUAAUAUUGUAUGGUAAUUAAAGGUAAGCAAACAAGAAUUUGGAAUAUGAUUUUAAUGGAAUAAAAUGAAAAUAUAAAUUACUAGACGAGAUGGGAGGAAAACAUAUAUUAAAAAUCAAACUAAAUACCCAACUGGCAUGAGUUCGGGUUAUGAGCACUAUAUAAAAUAAAUUUGUUUACACACAUACGUUUUCAGGUACACAUACUCUAUUUAUGACAGAUAUGAGACCAUAAUAUUUUUAUUUUACGUAUACGUGACAGGUUAUGGGACAAAGAAUUUAUGACAGAUACCAGACGGUAUAUUUUUAUGUUCCAAAAUAGUUACGCCUAGCUAAUAUACAUGAAAUAACCCAAACUAAAAUCAAAUUCAUAUCCUAUUUAACAUAUGUAAUCAAACUGUUAGGACUGUUUAGAUUAGUUAAGAAAAUAAAAAUGUAACACCAUUUAACUUUUGCAACUAAAUUAAUCUGGAUCUUAAAAUAUAAUUAUGCAUUAACGCAACUGAAUUUUGUUCAUUACUCUAACUUUAUAAUAUUUAUACUAUUACGAAGUUCACUAACACAACAAAAUAUUUUAUAUUUUUAAAAUCUAUAUAACGAUUUCUAUAAAAAUAUCUCUACACGUAUGUGGAUUCAGAUGUAAUAUACUAAAAUAUAUAUCAUAAAAAGUUAAAAACAACAAAAUAAUCUAUACUGAAUUAAAAUUUGUUAGAAAUUUUUUAAAAUAUGAAACCCCGCACGUACGUGCGGGUCAUGAUCUAGUAUCUAUCUAUGUGAGUUGAGAAGAAAAAAAUUUGGGAUGAGAGAGAGAAAAGAUAUAAGAAUAAGAGAUGCUAUGGAAAAUGAUAUCGAUGUGGAGAGAGAGACAUGAUAUGCGCUAAAAAAAAAUAGACAUGAUGUGCAAAUUUUGAUAUAUAUGUAAUUAAUUAUGUAAACAUUGUACCUCAUGUUUACUUUUAAUCAAUUUAUUUAUAUUGACAAAAAAUGAUUCACAAAUCACAAUGAUGGAUCUUGUUGUUAAAUUAUUUAACUAAAAAUUAUAUUAAAGUAGAUUAGGACCGUCUGAUGUGUGGGUUUUAAAUUUUUUUAAUUACAUUCUUUGAAAAUAUAUAUAUAUAUAUAUAUAUAAUCUUUAAGUUAGAGAAGAUAAUUAUAUAUAUAUACAUACAUAUAUAUAUAUAUAUAUAUAUAUAUAUAUAUAUAUAUAUAUAUUCUUCAAUUCAAAAAAAAUGUUAUUUAUAUGUUCGUUUUGCUUUAACUUAUUUGCAACUUUAUAUUUUAAAUUUAUUGUAAGAUUUAUUACAAUAAACUAUUACAUUUAAAUUACCAAUCUUCAAAUCUUUUGCCAUAUAUUCAUCAUUAUUUUUAUUGUCAAAUCUCGAGAACGUAGUUUAGCAAUUUCGCGUAAAUGAUUCUACUACUUGAGAAACUGUUUUACAUGCAAAUCAUCGGUAAGCUUAUUUCAAUCCAUUUACAAAUCUACUAUCUACAUUACAACUAAAAAAUGUAUCUAUGAACACAUUAAGCCUAUCCAUUUCAAUCCAAUCAUAUUUUACUAUUGAAAUAUGUUUUCUAUCACCACCUACAAAAUGUAUCUAUGAACACAUUAAUCCAAUUAUAUGUCUUAUUUUUUUAUGUCCAACUAUAUGUCUCUUCAUUUGUACUUUUGCAUGGUUUCUUUAACCACUAAAUUUUUUGAGUUAAAGAAUAUUUUGAAUAAAAAAUUAUAUCAUAUAGCAAUAAUUUAUGAUGUAUUUAUAAAAAAUUAAAAUAAAUAAAAACUAUUUGAUUAGAAUGCGUUUAUGACCAACCAAUAAACUAAAAGUUGAGAAAUUAAAAGAAAUUAAUUUGACAUAACUAAAAAGAAUAGAAAACUAUAAACACGAUAAUAUAUGAGUCUUAGAUAAUUCAAAGAUAGAAAUAUAAAUUAAAAUAAACAAUCUAAAAAUUCAACCAUUAAAUUAUAAAUAUUAGGAAAAUAAAUAGCAUAUAUUGAUCUUACCUACUAACUAUAAAAGAAAAUUCAAAAAUAUAAAAAAAUUAUUUUAAAUCAACAAAAAAUUGAAAUAUAUAAUGUAACUACUAACUUUGAAAAUCAAACUUUAUCUAAUAAGAUUAUAAAGUAUUAUAUACUCAUAAUUUAAUCUAAUAUUUUUAGGUUGAAUUCUCUUUUUUUUUUGUCUUUAAAGCAAAAAAAAAAUUAUGAGUAUUCCUCUUGGAUCUUUUUCUUUCGGUUUGUUAGCUGCUAAAGUUUACCGUGACGGAGGCGCCCUCUAUGGAGACGAUGGCAAGUGUUUUGGGAUGCAUUGCUUUCAAACCACUUUUAUAAUAUUUAUACUAUUACGAAGUUCACUAACACAACAAAAUAUUUUAUAUUUUUAAAAUCUAUAUAACGAUUUCUAUAAAAAUAUCUCUACACGUAUGUGGAUUCAGAUCUAAUAUACUAAAAUAUAUAUCAUAAAAAGUUAAAAACAACAAAAUAAUCUAUACUGAAUUAAAAUUUGUUAGAAAUUUUUUAAAAUAUGAAACCCCGCACGUACGUGCGGGUCAUGAUCUAGUAUCUAUCUAUGUGAGUUGAGAAGAAAAAAAUUCGGGAUGAGAGAGAGAAAAGAUAUAAGAAUAAGAGAUGCUAUGGAAACUAAUAUCGAUGUGGAGAGAGAGACAUGAUAUGCGCUGAAAAAAAAUAGACAUGAUGUGCAAAUUUUGAUCUAUAUGUAAUUAAUUAUGUAAACAUUGUACCUCAUGUUUACUUUUAAUCAAUUUAUUUAUAUUGACAAAAAAUGAUUCGGAAAGCACAAUGAUGGAUCUUGUUGUUAAAUUAUUUAACUAAAAAUUAUAUUAAAGUAGAUUAGGACCGUGUGAUGUGUGGGUUUUAAAUUUUUUUAAUUACAUUCUUUGAAAAUAUAUAUAUAUAUAUAUAUAUAUAUAUAUAUAAUCUUUAAGUUAGAGAAGAUAAUUAUAUAUAUAUACAUACAUAUAUAUAUAUAUAUAUAUAUAUUCUUCAAUUCAAAAAAAAUGUUAUUUAUAUGUUCGUUUUGCUUUAACUUAUUUGCAACUUUAUAUUUUAAAUUUAUUGUAAGAUUUAUUACAAUAAACUAGUACAUUUAAAUUACCAAUCUUCAAAUCUUUUGCCAUAUAUUCAUCAUUAUUUUUAUUGUCAAAUCUCGAGAACGUAGUUUAGCAAUUUCGCGUAAAUGAUUCUACUACUUGAAAAACUGUUUUACAUGCAAAUCAUCGGUAAGCUUAUUUCAAUCCAUUUACAAAUCUACUAUCUACAUUACAACUAAAAAAUGUAUCUAUGAACACAUUAAGCCUAUCCAUUUCAAUCCAAUCAUAUUUUACUAUUGAAAUAUGUUUUCUAUCACCACCUACAAAAUGUAUCUAUGAACAUAUUAAUCCAAUUAUAUGUCUUAUUUUUUUAUGUCCAACUAUAUGUCUCUUCAUUUUUACUUUUGCAUGGUUUCUUUAACCACUAAAUUUUUUGACUUAAAGAAUAUUUUGAAUAAAAAAUUAUAUCAUAUAGCAAUAAUUUAUGAUGUAUUUAUAAAAAAUUAAAAUAAAUAAAAACUACUUGAUUAGAAUGCGUUUAUGACCAACCAAUAAACUAAAAGUUGAGAAAUUAAAAGAAAUUAAUUUGACGUAACUAAAAAGAAUAGAAAACUAUAAACACGAUAAUAUAUGAGUCUUAGAUAAUUCAAAGAUAGAAAUAUAAAUUAAAAUAAACAAUCUAAAAAUUCAACCAUUAAAUUAUAAAUAUUAGGAAAAUAAAUAGCAUAUAUUGAUCUUACCUACUAACUAUAAAAGAAAAUUCAAAAAUAUAAAAAAAUUAUUUUAAAUCAACAAAAAAUUAAAAUAUAUAAUGUAACUACUAACUUUGAAAAUCAAACUUUAUCUAAUAAGAUUAUAAAGUAUUAUAUACUCAUAAUUUAAUCUAAUAUUUUUAGGUUGAAUUCUCUUUUUUUUUUUGUCUUUAAAGCAAAAAAAAAAUUAUGAGUAUUCCUCUUGGAUCUUUUUCUUUCGGUUUGUUAGCUGCUAAAGUUUACCGUGACGGAGGCGCCCUCUAUGGAGACGAUGGCAAGUGUUUUGGGAUGCAUUGCUUUCAAACCACUUUUAUAAUAUUUAUACUAUUACGAAGUUCACUAACACAACAAAAUAUUUUAUAUUUUUAAAAUCUAUAUAACGAUUUCUAUAAAAAUAUCUCUACACGUAUGUGGAUUCAGAUCUAAUAUACUAAAAUAUAUAUCAUAAAAAGUUAAAAACAACAAAAUAAUCUAUACUGAAUUAAAAUUUGUUAGAAAUUUUUUAAAAUAUGAAACCCCGCACGUACGUGCGGGUCAUGAUCUAGUAUCUAACUAUGUGAGUUGAGAAGAAAAAAAUUCGGGAUGAGAGAGAGAAAAGAUAUAAGAAUAAGAGAUGCUAUGGAAACUGAUAUCGAUGUGGAGAGAGAGACAUGAUAUGCGCUGAAAAAAAAUAGACAUGAUGUGCAAAUUUUGAUCUAUAUGUAAUUAAUUAUGUAAACAUUGUACCUCAUGUUUACUUUUAAUCAAUUUAUUUAUAUUGACAAAAAAUGAUUCACAAAUCACAAUGAUGGAUCUUGUUGUUAAAUUAUUUAACUAAAAAUUAUAUUAAAGUAGAUUAGGACCGUGUGAUGUGUGGGUUUUAAAUUUAUUUAAUUACAUUCUUUGAAAAUAUAUAUAUAUAUAUAUAUAUAUAUAUAUAUAUAUAAUCUUUAAGUUAGAGAAGAUAAUUAUAUAUAUAUAUACAUAUAUAUAUAUAUAUAUAUAUUCUUCAAUUCAAAAAAAUGUUAUUUAUAUGUUCGUUUUGCUUUAACUUAUUUGCAACUUUAUAUUUUAAAUUUAUUGUAAGAUUUAUUACAAUAAACUAGUACAUUUAAAUUACCAAUCUUCAAAUCUUUUGCCAUAUAUUCAUCAUUAUUUUUAUUGUCAAAUCUCGAGAACGUAGUUUAGCAAUUUCGCGUAAAUGAUUCUACUACUUGAGAAACUGUUUUACAUGCAAAUCAUCGGUAAGCUUAUUUCAAUCUAUUUACAAAUCUACUAUCUACAUUACAACUAAAAAAUGUAUCUAUGAACACAUUAAGCCUAUCCAUUUCAAUCCAAUCAUAUUUUACUAUUGAAAUAUGUUUUCUAUCACCACCUACAAAAUGUAUCUAUGAACACAUUAAUCCAAUUAUAUGUCUUAUUUUUUAUGUCCAACUAUAUGUCUCUUCAUUUUUACUUUUGCAUGGUUUCUUUAACCACUAAAUUUUUUGACUUAAAGAAUAUUUUGAAUAAAAAAUUAUAUCAUAUAGCAAUAAUUUAUGAUGUAGUUAUAAAAAUUAAAAUAAAUAAAAACUACUUGAUUAGAAUGCGUUUAUGACCAACCAAUAAACUAAAAGUUGAGAAAUUAAAAGAAAUUAAUUUGACAUAACUAAAAAGAACAGAAAACUAUAAACACGAUAAUAUAUGAGUCUUAGAUAAUUCAAAGAUAGAAAUAUAAAUUAAAAUAAACAAUCUAAAAUUCAACCAUUAAAUUAUAAAUAUUAGGAAAAUAAAUAGCAUAUAUUGAUCUUACCUACUAACUAUAAAAGAAAAUUCAAAAAUAUAAAAAAAUUAUUUUAAAUCAACAAAAAAUUGAAAUAUAUAAUGUAACUACUAACUUUGAAAAUCAAACUUUAUCUAAUAAGAUUAUAAAGUAUUAUAUACUCAUAAUUUAAUCUAAUAUUAUUAGGUUGAAUUUUUUUUUUGUCUUUAAAGCAAAAAAAAAUUAUUAUUGGGUCGUGCCGAAAACGGACUGCUUCCAAAUGGACCGGGCCAGCCCACAGACUAACUCAUUUACAUAUAGGAAACCCUAGGGUUUCUUCUAUCCUUUCUUUCUCUAAAAGCCGCCGGCGAGAGAGAGAGCAAAACAAAAGAUUGGAAAAGAUGAAGACGAUUCUUUCUUCUGAGACGAUGGAUAUCCCCGACAGCGUUACCAUCAAGGUUCACGCUAAAGUGAUCGAAGUCGAAGGACCUCGCGGGAAGCUUGUUCGCGAUUUCAAGCAUCUCAACCUCGAUUUCCAGCUGAUCAAGGACCCUGAGACUGGGAAGAAGAUGCUUAAGAUCGAUUCGUGGUUUGGAUCACGCAAAACCAGCGCCUCCAUCAGAACCGCUCUUAGUCACGUUGAUAAUCUUAUCUCCGGUGUUACCAGAGGUUUCCGAUACAAGAUGAGGUUCGUGUACGCUCAUUUUCCCAUCAACGCCUCCAUUGGUGGUGAUGGC